CAGUAGCCGCGGGAAUACGGAGGGAGCUAGCGUUGUUCGGAAUUACUGGGCGUAAAGCGCGCGUAGGCGGUUACUCAAGUCAGAGGUGAAAGCCCGGGGCUCAACCCCGGAACUGCCUUUGAUACUGGGUGUCUUGAGUGUGGAAGAGGUAAGUGGAAUUGCGAGUGUAGAGGUGAAAUUCGUAGAUAUUCGCAGGAACACCAGUGGCGAAGGCGGCUUACUGGUCCACAACUGACGCUGAGGUGCGAAAGCGUGGGGAGCAAACAGGAUUAGAUACCCCCGUAGUCCCUGUCUCUUAUAC
Molecule: ribosomal RNA, 301 nt
Filed under: uncultured bacterium
Lineage: Bacteria
Description: partial 16S ribosomal RNA
Rfam family: Bacterial small subunit ribosomal RNA
Source: RNAcentral